This 502-nucleotide ribosomal RNA is filed under the name uncultured bacterium. Its description in RNAcentral is "partial 16S ribosomal RNA". It matches the Rfam family "Bacterial small subunit ribosomal RNA", at positions 29 to 507 of the family's 1533-position model. The record is from RNAcentral.
AGCGAACGCUGGCGGCGUGCCUAACACAUGCAAGUCGAACGUGAAAGGGAGCAAUCCCAGGUGAAGUGGCGUACGGGUGAGUAACACGUAGGUAAUCUACCCCAGAAUCUGGAAUAACCGACCUAAAGGCUGGCUAAUACAAUAUAGGGCAACGGAAUCCGCAAUUUGGUUGUUCGGGGAAGGUUUCGUGUAAAGGGGCCUGAGUUCUGGGAUGACCGUGCGUCCCAUCAGCUAGUGGGUGAGGAAAAAGCGUAGGAAGGCAAUGACGGGUAGGUGGACUGCGAGGACGAGUAGCCACACUGGAACUGAAACACGGUCCAGACUCCUACGGGAGGCAGCAGUGGGGAAUCUUGCGCAAUGGACGAAAGUCUGACGCAGCAACGCCGCGUGAGUGAAGAAGGCCUUCGGGUUGGAAAGCUCGGUCGAGUGGGACGAAAAUGCUUGGAGUUGACAGCUACAGGAACUGACGGUACCAGUAAAGGAAGCACCGGCUAACUCCGUG